GUUAGGAAUAUUGGACAAUGGGCGAAAGCCUGAUCCAGCCAUGCCGCGUGAACGAUGAAGGCCUUCGGGUUGUAAAGCUCUUUAGCCGAUGAUUAUAAUGACUGUAGUCGGAAAAUAAGCCCCGGCUAACUCCGUGCCAGCAGCCGCGGUAAUCCGAAGGGGGCGAGCGUUAUUCGGAAUCACUGGGCGUAAAGCGUGCGUAGGCGGUUUUGUAAGUUAGGAGUGAAAGCCCAGGGCUCAACCUUGGAAUUGCUCUUAAAACUGCAAGGCUCGGAUGUCGGAGAGGAUAGCCGAAUUUCCAGGGUAGAAGUGAAAUGCGUAGAUAGUGGAAGGAACACCAGUGGCGUAAGCGGCUAUCUGGACGAGUAUUGACGCUGAGGCACGAAAGCGUGGGGAUCAAACAGGAUUAGAUACCCUAGUAGUCC
Molecule: ribosomal RNA, 425 nt
Filed under: uncultured bacterium
Lineage: Bacteria
Description: partial 16S ribosomal RNA
Rfam family: Bacterial small subunit ribosomal RNA
Source: RNAcentral